AUUGAACGCUGGCGGUAGGCCUAACACAUGCAAGUCGAGCGGCUGAAGAGUACUUGCUUCUUCUUUCAGCGGCCGACUGGUGGGUAAUUCCUAGGAACCUCCGUGUUUGCUUUUUCUUGCGUGCUGACAUGGGCGCUCUUACCCUAUUACUCCUGACGACCUACGGGUGGAAUCUUCGGAUCUCACGCUCUCACAUGAUCCUAUGUCGGAUUAGCUAGUUGGCGGGGUAAAGGCCUACCAAGGCGACGAUCCGUAACUGGUCUGAGAGGAUGAUCAGUCACACUGGAACUGAGACACGGUCCAGACUCCUACGGGAGGCAGCAGUGGGGAAUAUUGGACAAUGGGCGAAAGCCUGAUCCAGCCAUGCCGCGUGUGUGAAGAAGGUCUUCGGAUUGUAAAGCACUUUAAGUGGGGAGGAAGAGCAGUAAGUUAAUACCUUGCUGUUUUGACGUUACCAACAGAAUAAGCACCGGCUAACUUCGUG
RNAcentral lists this ribosomal RNA (484 nucleotides) under uncultured bacterium. RNAcentral describes it as "partial 16S ribosomal RNA". It matches the Rfam family "Bacterial small subunit ribosomal RNA", at positions 30 to 507 of the family's 1533-position model. The record is from RNAcentral.